GACGAACGCUGGCGGCGUGCUUAACACAUGCAAGUCGAACGGAAAGGCCCUGCUUUUGUGGGGUGCUCGAGUGGCGAACGGGUGAGUAACACGUGAGUAACCUGCCCUUGACUUUGGGAUAACUCCAGGAAACUGGGGCUAAUACCGGAUAGGAGCUCCUGCUGCAUGGUGGGGGUUGGAAAGUUUCGGCGGUUGGGGAUGGACUCGCGGCUUAUCAGCUUGUUGGUGGGGUAGUGGCUUGCCAAGGCUUUGACGGGUAGCCGGCCUGAGAGGGUGACCGGCCACAUUGGGACUGAGAUCCGGCCCAGCCUCCUCCGGGAGGAAGCAGUGGGGAAUAUUGCACAAUGGGCGGAAGCCUGAUGCAGCACCGCCGCGUGCGGGAUGACGGCCUUCGGGUUGUAAACCGCUUUCGCCUGUGACGAAGCGUGAGUGACGGUAAUGGGUAAAGAAGCACCGGCUAACUACGUG
Molecule: ribosomal RNA, 468 nt
Filed under: uncultured bacterium
Lineage: Bacteria
Description: partial 16S ribosomal RNA
Rfam family: Bacterial small subunit ribosomal RNA
Source: RNAcentral